RNAcentral lists this ribosomal RNA (2130 nucleotides) under Paenibacillus cremeus. Its description in RNAcentral is "Bacterial large subunit ribosomal RNA". It matches the Rfam family "Bacterial large subunit ribosomal RNA", at positions 695 to 2817 of the family's 2925-position model. Lineage: Bacteria; Bacillati; Bacillota; Bacilli; Caryophanales; Paenibacillaceae. The record is from Rfam by way of RNAcentral.
AUAAGUACGUGGACGUAGACCCGAAACCGUGUGAUCUACCCCUGUCCAGGGUGAAGGUGCGGUAACACGCACUGGAGGCCCGAACCCACGAAUGUUGAAAAAUUCGGGGAUGAGGUGGGGGUAGCGGAGAAAUUCCAAUCGAACUCGGAGAUAGCUGGUUCUCCCCGAAAUAGCUUUAGGGCUAGCCUCGGGUUAGAGUCGCGGAGGUAAAGCACUGAUUGGGUGCGGGGCCCGCCAAGGGUUACCAAGUCCAGUCAAACUCUGAAUGCCGCAGACUCGAUGCCCGGGAGUCAGACAGUGAGUGCUAAGAUCCAUUGUCAAGAGGGAAACAGCCCAGAUCAUCAGCUAAGGUCCCCAAGUGUGUGUUAAGUGGGAAAGGAUGUGGAGUUGCACAGACAACCAGGAUGUUGGCUUAGAAGCAGCCACCAUUGAAAGAGUGCGUAAUAGCUCACUGGUCGAGUGACUCUGCGCCGAAAAUGUAACGGGGCUAAACACACCACCGAAGCUAUGACUAGACGUCUUAGACGUCCUGGGGUAGGGGAGCGUUGUAUGCGGGUUGAAGCUAGAUCGUAAGGACUGGUGGACUGCAUACAAGUGAGAAUGCCGGUAUGAGUAACGAAAAGACAAGUGAGAAUCUUGUCCGCCGUAAGCCUAAGGGUUCCUGAGGAAGGUUCGUCCGCUCAGGGUAAGUCGGGACCUAAGGCGAGGCCGAAAGGCGUAGUCGAAGGACAACAGGUUGAAAUUCCUGUACCACCGUGAACCGUUAUGAGCGAUGGGGUGACGCAGAAGGAUAGUGACGCGAGCUGAUGGAUGCUCGUCCAAGCAGUGAGGCUGGUGUGUAGGCAAAUCCGCACACCGUAAGGCUGGGCUGUGAUGGGGAGGGAAAUAUAAAGUACCGAAGGUCAUGAGUUCAAGCUGCCAAGAAAAGCCUCUAGCCAGGGAGAAGGUGCCCGUACCGCAAACCGACACAGGUAGGCGAGCAGAGCAUGCUAAGGCGCUCGGAAGAACUCUCGUUAAGGAACUCGGCAAAAUGACCCCGUAACUUCGGGAGAAGGGGUGCCUCGGUAGGGUGAAUAGCCCGAGGGGGCCGCAGUGAAAAGGCCCAAGCGACUGUUUAGCAAAAACACAGGUCUGUGCGAAGCCGCAAGGCGAAGUAUACGGGCUGACGCCUGCCCGGUGCUGGAAGGUUAAGGGGAGUGGUUAGGGGCAACCCGAAGCUAUGAACCGAAGCCCCAGUAAACGGCGGCCGUAACUAUAACGGUCCUAAGGUAGCGAAAUUCCUUGUCAGGUAAAUUCUGACCCGCACGAAUGGCGUAACGACUUGGGCGCUGUCUCGACGAGAGAUCCGGUGAAAUUUUAAUACCUGUGAAGAUGCAGGUUACCCGCGACAAGACGGAAAGACCCCAUGGAGCUUUACUGCAGCUUGAUAUUGGACUUUGGUACGAUCUGUACAGGAUAGGUGGGAGCCUAGGAAGCCGGUGCGCCAGCAUCGGUGGAGGCGCCGUUGGGAUACCACCCUGAUCGUAUCGGAGUUCUAACCUGGUACCGUAAACCGGUACGGGGACCGUGUCAGGUGGGCAGUUUGACUGGGGCGGUCGCCUCCUAAAAAGUAACGGAGGCGCCCCAAGGUUCCCUCAGAAUGGUUGGAAAUCAUUCGAAGAGUGCAAAGGCAUAAGGGAGCUUGACUGCGAGACAAACAGGUCGAGCAGGGACGAAAGUCGGGCUUAGUGAUCCGGUGGUACCGAAUGGAAGGGCCAUCGCUCAACGGAUAAAAGCUACCCUGGGGAUAACAGGCUUAUCUCCCCCAAGAGUCCACAUCGACGGGGAGGUUUGGCACCUCGAUGUCGGCUCAUCGCAUCCUGGGGCUGAAGUAGGUCCCAAGGGUUGGGCUGUUCGCCCAUUAAAGCGGUACGCGAGCUGGGUUCAGAACGUCGUGAGACAGUUCGGUCCCUAUCUGUCGCGGGCGUAGGAAAUUUGAGAGGAGCUGUCCUUAGUACGAGAGGACCGGGAUGGACGUACCGCUGGUGUACCAGUUGUCUCGCCAGAGGCACGGCUGGAUAGCCAAGUACGGAAGGGAUAAGCGCUGAAAGCAUCUAAGCGUGAAGCCCCCCUCAAGAUGAGAUUUCCCAG